CAUUAAGAAGCUAUGUAACAGCACUAGCCUUUUAAGCUGGAGAAAGAGGACACCAACACCUCCUUAAUGA
Molecule: transfer RNA, 70 nt
Filed under: Phoebastria nigripes (Hawaiian black-footed albatross)
Lineage: Eukaryota; Metazoa; Chordata; Aves; Procellariiformes; Diomedeidae
Description: tRNA-Lys
Source: RNAcentral